RNAcentral lists this transfer RNA (30 nucleotides) under Tonkinacris sinensis. RNAcentral describes it as "partial tRNA-Tyr". The record is from RNAcentral. Lineage: Eukaryota; Metazoa; Arthropoda; Insecta; Orthoptera; Acrididae.
CUAUUUAUGAGAAUUAUUUCUCUCUUAUCA